This 181-nucleotide ribosomal RNA is filed under the name Loxosomella sp. VL5. RNAcentral's name for it is "partial 18S ribosomal RNA". It matches the Rfam family "Eukaryotic small subunit ribosomal RNA", at positions 826 to 1005 of the family's 1831-position model. Lineage: Eukaryota; Metazoa; Entoprocta; Loxosomatidae. The record is from RNAcentral.
GACCUCGGUCUUAUAUUGUUGGGUUUGCAGACUUGAGGUAAUGAUUAAGAGGGACUGACGGGGGCCUUCGUAUUACGGCGUUAGAAGUGAAAUUCUUGGAUCGCCGUAAGACGAACUACUGCCAAAGCCUUUGCCAAGAAUGUUUUCAUUAAUCAAGAACGAAAGUCAGAGGUUCGAAGAC